AAAAUUUUAAAUGCGGAAGCAAAAUAAAAAUUCUGAUAAACAUCCCUUACACAAUAACGAAAAACGUAUUCAACGUAUGAAAGAAUAAGCUAAUUAAAAGAAAUACUCGAAAUAAAAACUACAAAUAGAACUAUAAAAUCUUUAGGCGUCUAACUCGCCGUUUUCCUGCGGAACAGGCUCGGGAACCAUGUCUUCCUAAUCUGAAAUGGUUAAGUAAGGAAUGAGCUACACUAGCCCAGUAAAGAUAUCACACUAUCUCACUGCCACAGAAGUA
RNAcentral lists this long non-coding RNA (274 nucleotides) under Carica papaya (papaya). RNAcentral's name for it is "long non-coding RNA (CPAP_LNC014245)". The record is from RNAcentral. Lineage: Eukaryota; Viridiplantae; Streptophyta; Magnoliopsida; Brassicales; Caricaceae.